This 189-nucleotide microRNA precursor is filed under the name Oryza brachyantha (malo sina). Its description in RNAcentral is "MIR812 microRNA precursor family". It matches the Rfam family "MIR812 microRNA precursor family". Lineage: Eukaryota; Viridiplantae; Streptophyta; Magnoliopsida; Poales; Poaceae. The record is from Rfam by way of RNAcentral.
AAUAAACCAAUUUUCACUUUUUACCUACAAUUUUUGACUCUUCGUCUUAUUCAAUUUUUUUUUGCGCUUGAUAUUUUUGUUUUUAUUAGAUGAUAAAUCAUGAAUAGUACUUUAUGUGUGACUAAUUUUUUCUAAUUUUCUGAAAAUUUUUCAAAUAAGACGGAUGGUCAAACGUUGGACACGGAGAUU